UACGUAGGUGGCGAGCGUUAUCCGGAAUUAUUGGGCGUAAAGAGCGCGCAGGUGGUUGAUUAAGUCUGAUGUGAAAGCCCACGGCUUAACCGUGGAGGGUCAUUGGAAACUGGUCGACUUGAGUGCAGAAGAGGGAAGUGGAAUUCCAUGUGUAGCGGUGAAAUGCGUAGAGAUAUGGAGGAACACCAGUGGCGAAGGCGGCUUUCUGGUCUAACCCUGACGCUGAGGAGCGAAAGCUAGGGGAGCAAACAGGAUUAGAUACCCG
This 265-nucleotide ribosomal RNA is filed under the name uncultured prokaryote. Its description in RNAcentral is "partial 16S ribosomal RNA". It matches the Rfam family "Bacterial small subunit ribosomal RNA", at positions 524 to 788 of the family's 1533-position model. The record is from RNAcentral.